This 365-nucleotide long non-coding RNA is filed under the name Phaseolus vulgaris (common bean). Its description in RNAcentral is "long non-coding RNA (PVUL_LNC003118)". Lineage: Eukaryota; Viridiplantae; Streptophyta; Magnoliopsida; Fabales; Fabaceae. The record is from RNAcentral.
GAUUGCCCGGGGGACCGGGUUCGAGUGGGCCUGACUUUCUCGGGCACGAUCUUAAUGUGGCCGAGAAGGUGAGCAUCAUGCUGAAUCCUUACCAGCAAGAUGCGUAUCUGUCGGCACGCCCUUCUCAAGUUCAUGACGCCUUCAUGGAGUUGUGUUCUAGGACCUUGGUACUCGGCAAACGGAUGGCAUCCGAUUUGAUGAAGAGGGACAAAAAUGCAGCCGAGGUGGAGGGACUCCGGGCUAAGCUGAACGAGUCGUCGGCCAGCUUGAAAACAAAGCUGACCGAGAAUGCUACACUUGUGGCUCAGAAGGAAGCCCUAGAGGCCGAGGUGGCGAGGUGGAAAGAGAAGUCCGAACUGGCCGAG